AUUUACUGUCGAUUAACUACCUGUUGCUGCACGCGCGAUAGCGCUUUGUGAAACCAUGCACCUGUAUAUAUACGACAGUUCUUACUUUGUUAACUGUUUGACAGUAAAUCCUUUCUCCCCCGAAAUCAAGUCCCCAUAUCACAAAGUAUCCUUUGCAUACAUCUCGUCUCUCUACACAUUCUAAACAAAAACGUUUUCUCAUAAAAAUGACAGUUUCCCAUCACAGUAUAUCCUCAACUAACACGUAUUCGGUUUUCAACCCUGAGGCUAAGACCCCGAGGAAGACCGGAAGUCCACGAAUUGAAUUAUCUGAAUUGAAACCAAACGUGAAUUUUAAAAAUU
This is a non-coding RNA of Paramuricea clavata, 342 nucleotides long. NCBI's taxonomy places the organism in Eukaryota, Metazoa, Cnidaria, Anthozoa, Malacalcyonacea, Plexauridae. The record is from the annotation of a GenBank genome assembly.